UAAUGGCAGGUCAGCAUACUGCCGUGAAUACGUUCCCGGGCCUUGUACACACCGCCCGUCACACCAUGAGAGUUGGGAAUACCCGAAGCCUGUGAGCUAACGUUAAGAGGCAGCAGUCGAAGGUAGAAUCAAUGAUUGGGGUGAAGUCGUAACAAGGUAAC
RNAcentral lists this ribosomal RNA (161 nucleotides) under uncultured bacterium. RNAcentral's name for it is "partial 16S ribosomal RNA". It matches the Rfam family "Bacterial small subunit ribosomal RNA", at positions 1339 to 1500 of the family's 1533-position model. The record is from RNAcentral.